AGUAACUGGCAUUUGGUUAUGGGGUGGCUGUUUUUCUACGUGGAACAAGCAGGGUCCCAGUUCAAGUUUCUGCUGCGUAUCUGAUAAUCUUGAGGUAUUUAUGAAGGACUCCUUUGAAAGUUCUCUACUGAGUUUCCUUAAGGAAUUCCUUAAGGAAUCCUUAAGGUAUUUCUACAGGAAGUAGGGGUCUGACUUCAGGAAUGGCUUAUUCCAAGUUGUAAAACUAUCCCCUGUCGUGAAGAGUUUCUCUCUUGACACCUAGGCUGGAAUGCAAUGGUGCAAUCUCGGCUGACUGCAACCUCCACCUCCGUGAUUCAAGCAAUUCUCCUGCCUCAGCCUCCUGAGUAACUGGGAUUACAGGUGCCUACCACCACACCUGGCUAAUUUUUGUAUUUUUAGUAGAGAUGGGGUUUCACCAAGUUGGCCAGGCUGGUCUCAAACUCCUGAGCUCAAGUGAUCCACCCACCUAGGCUUCCCAAAGUGCUGGAAUUAUAGGAGAGACCAAUUUGUUGAAUUGGACAGCUGGAAACAAGGAAGGGAAAAAGUAUUUCACUGAAAAGGCAGAAGACUGGCAUCAACUGCAAGCUGUGGAAUCAAGACAACUUUGGCUGAGUCCCAUUUUAUAUAGGACAAAAGGAGAGUGCUGUCCUCAAGGGCAAUAAUGCUUAUGAGAACAAAGAAGACUAUGGAGAAAUUUUAGGCAGUAGAAGAGAGCAGAAAGGCCAAGAGGAUCAGGGUU
This 739-nucleotide non-coding RNA is filed under the name Pongo abelii (Sumatran orangutan). Lineage: Eukaryota; Metazoa; Chordata; Mammalia; Primates; Hominidae. The record is from RNAcentral.